Onychostoma macrolepis is the source of this 4860-nucleotide RNA transcript. It is a transcript of the gene named protein bicaudal D homolog 1-like, with no coding region annotated. NCBI's taxonomy places the organism in Eukaryota, Metazoa, Chordata, Actinopteri, Cypriniformes, Cyprinidae. The record is from RefSeq and is a predicted model, not a curated record. The transcript has 10 exons.
CGCGACUCGAUUCAUAUCCAUGAGCUCAGGGCUGCAGCAAGAUGCGCUGACGUCACAGCAGGAGGAGAGCCGAAACGAGUCGGGCCACGUUUCUCCAUCCUAGCGAUGAUGGCGUCCCGACACCCAUGAGCAAGCAGAAAAAGAGGAGGAAGAAAGAAAGAAAGAAAGAAAGUGAGGCCCCUUUCAGGAUUGCGAUGAUUAAUUUUUGCUUCGGACUUCAAUUCGUUCGUCUUUUGUUGUUGAUAUGUCUGGAUCAUUGACUUUCUAUUGGAGGCUGGGGUAACGUUAAGGCGCAGGUGCCUCCAUCCAUCCGUUCAUCUAUCCGUCCAUCCAGCGCAGUGGAGGGGCCGGGCCGGCCCGAUGGCUGCUGGGGGAGGUGGAGGAGGAUGCGGGGAGUCGGUGGAUCAUUACCGGGCGGAGGUGGAGCGGCUGACCCGCGAGCUCGCGGAGGCGAACCGGGAGAAGGUCCGGGCGGCGGAGUGCGGGCUGGCGGUGUUGGAGGAGAACCAGAGCCUCAAACAGCAGUAUGCGGAGCUCGAGGCCGAGCAGGAGACCCUCAGACAGGAGCUGGAGCAGCUGCACGAGGCCUUCAGCCAGGCGUACACCACUCAAAGGAAGGUGGCUGAAGAUGGGGAGACCAACGAGGAGACGCUGCUGCAGGAGUCGGCCACUAAGGAAGCAUACUACAUGGGCCGCCUACUCGAGCAGCAGGCCGAGCUGAAGAGCAGCAGAUCACAGGCGUCCUGCACGCAGGUCGAGAACGAGAGACUCAGCACCAUCCUACAGGAGCUGAGAGAGAGUAAUGAGAUGUUGGAGUUGCAGAGAAGCCGGAUGAGAGAGGAGAUCAGGGAGUAUAAGUUUAGAGAGGCCAGAUUACUGCAAGACUACACCGAACUGGAGGAGGAGAACAUCUCGCUGCAGAAACUGGUGUCCACGCUCAAGCAGAACCAGGUGGAGUAUGAGGGCUUGAAGCAUGAAAUCAAAGUUCUGGAGGAGGAAACAGCCCUGCUUAACAGCCAAUUAGAAGAUGCGUUGCGCCUGAAGGACAUCUCUGAGACCCAAUUGGAGGAGGCUUUGGAUUCUCUGAAAAGCGAGCGAGAACAGAAGUAUGCUUUGCGCAAGGAAUUAGCACAUCAUCUAACCAUGUGCGAUGGGGGUUUCAGUUCAGGCUGUGCCCAUCUGAUCGCCCUGACCUCAGCGCCACCUAGUGGCAGUGCCACCCCGACAGCCGCCACAUCGCCCAGCAGCGAGGACGGUGGCAAGUGCAACGGGCAUCUGCUUCAAGGCGCGGCAGGAUCAGUUUUGAGCCGACUGAACGGAGACUUCAGGCCGUCGAGUUUGAGGAAGACUGAAAUUCUGACCCCUGACCUCUUUAGUGAGCUCAAUGGCCCUGAAAUCCUGAAACUAAGACAACAGCUUCAGCAGGUGGAACGUGAAAAAGCGACUUUGCUCAACAGCUUGCAGGAAUCACAGGCUUUGCUCCGUCACACACAGGGGGCGCUGACAGAGCAGCACGAGAAGGCCAGUCGCUUGGGCGAGCGCUUCCGAAAAUUCCGCCGCCAACGCAGCAGCAAGGAAACCAAGGGGGAAGAGGAGGUCGAAGAAGAGGAGACAACAUGCAUCCCUAGUGGCCAGGAAGGGCCGAGUCUGGAAUUGCUGCAAUGUAAAUACAGGGUGGCUGUGACGGAGGUGGUUGGACUGAAGGCAGAGCUUAAGGAGGUGAAAGAUAGAUAUAAUGAGUGUGUGGAGGCAAGAGCACGGGUGGAGGAGCAGGGCAAGGUGCAGCUGCAAGCAUUGGAGACACAAGUGGUGCAGCUGGAGCGCAGCUGCAGGGAAAGCCGGGAGAAGGCGGUGAAUCUGGAACGCGAGCUGCGGGCAGCCAAUAACACGACCUUGGAGACGCAAGGAAUCCUGGGAACUGCCCAAGAAGAGCUGGCGACAUUCAGCGAGGAGUUAGCGCAACUUUACCACCACGUCUGCCUGUGCAACAACGAGACACCCAACCGCGUUACGCUGGACUACUACCGGCAGGGCAGAAUGCCAACGCGCAUUUCAACCCCUGGCCACAAGGGACAGGACGAUCACCGUGUGCUGUUGACCCCACGUCUUGCACGUCGUUUGGCGGCAAUUAACGCUGCAACGUCCGCUGAGUCUCGUAGCCCGUCGGACUCACCAUCCAAAGAACCUCUCACUGCUGAGCAGAGCCCAGUCCGUACGCCACUGGGUUCACCCGUCGUUAGUGCCUCUUCCUCGUCUUCAUCAUCAUCCCCAGCACCCGAGUCGGCCACGGGGUCUGACCUCCGCCGCGAACCCACCAACAUCCACCACCUCAACGCCAUCAUCCGCGACCAGAUCAAGCACUUGCAGAAGGCGGUGGACCGCUCGCUCCAACUGUCCCGCCAGAGAGCGGCCGCUAGCGAACUCGCCCCACUGAUGGACAAGGACAAAGAGGCCUGCAUGGAGGAGAUUCUCAAGCUCAAGUCCCUCCUGAGCACAAAGAGGGAGCAGAUUGCAACCUUGCGUCUUGUGCUCAAAGCCAACAAGCAGACGGCUGAGGGGGCUUUGGCCAACCUGAAGAGUAAAUACGAGAAUGAGAAGACAAUGGUGACGGAGACCAUGAUGAAACUGAGGAAUGAGCUAAAGGCAUUGAAAGAGGACGCGGCUACCUUCUCUUCCCUCAGAGCCAUGUUCGCCACACGGUGUGAUGAGUACGUGUCUCAGCUGGACGAGAUGCAGAGACAACUCGCGGCGGCGGAGGACGAGAAAAAGACGCUCAACUCUCUCCUCCGCAUGGCCAUCCAGCAAAAACUCGCCCUCACACAGAAACUGGAAGACCUGGAGUUCGACCAAGAGCAGUCGCACCGGACCCGUGUGGGAAAAACGUCCCGGCUGAGGAGCAACACACCUAAAUCAAAGCAUCAAGCAACAUUAAAUCUUAAUGUUUUGAAAGAACCUACUGGGAAAUGCACCUGUUUAAGUUGUGUUUUGGAACAAGGUAGCUAGUUUCUAGCUGUUCCAAACUGGUUUAAAUGGUUGACAAGGAAGAAUACCAGCUCAUUGGGACCUGACUGGGCUAGUAGACCAUUUUGGAUCAGCAAUAAACCAGCUAUCUCAGAAACCGGUUUGACAUUGAUGCUAAAGCUAUAAUGUCACAAUAGUGAGAUAGUCAGCAGCAUCCUCCUGCCUCAGUGCCACAGCGCUACCAAGAACUAAACACAUCGGACCCUGUUAACCUACAGUUUAUUUUUCAGUAGGUUGCAUCAGUUAUGAUCUGGGUCCGGCAGCAGAUGGACUGUAACGGUGAUUCUCCAGGAUUCAACAACAUCAGAAGGAGUCUGAUUAUUUUCCCCUCCUAACUGCCCAAGUCUCUGGAGCCUGAAGCUUUUCCCCUCGAUUCCUGCCUCCCCUAGCGUAGAUCUAAGGCACCGCUUGAGCUUAAACACCACAGGAGUGCCUCACGCCCGUGACCUUACCGCACCGUGAGCCGAGUUCACUGGCCCAUGUGAGAUAAAGACACACUACAGUGAUGGCAGAGAGACACAAACCAAAGUAACACACAGGCCCUGAAUGCCUAGCUGAUCACAUGAUGCUCUGACAUCAUGGUCAUGUGAUCUCUUGUACAUUUGUAUCCUUGUCCAGCAGCUUUUUGCCUAUGACACUUUUUUACACGCUAAUGCCGAGUUCACACUGCACGAUUUUAGCUCUGAUUUUCACUCGCCGACAGGUUUUGCGAAAUCGCUGACAAAUGCCCGAAAUCUGAGGCAAAUCGGUGCUUGUUCACGCGAGUGACAAUCACGCAGUAUGAAUUAUCAAAGACGCGAUCGGAGAGAAUAUUUGGCAUGCUAAAUCUGGAGCUGUCGGCGUUUCAAAACAGCCAAUGAAAGAGCAAGAUACAGUUCGGGGAGGACUUUAUUAUUAUUAUUAUUAUUAUUAAGCAAUUAGACAUGUACAAACAAUGUCGCAAUAUCAAUACAUUUUUGCAUUAGAAAUUAGAAUAUACAGUGCAUGUAAAUCAUAUUCUUCUAUAAAGGACAAAAGAUUUAUUGCAUUUUUCUUUUUCAUUACUUUGAGGGCUUUUGUAGACAAGCUCAUUAUAAAAUGAACAAAACGUUGGUUUCACUUUCAACUUAGAUGUGUGUAUAUAAAAUUUUCCCAGCAGAAGUAGGCUAUGUUACGAAGUCACCUUUGUUAUUGUUUGUUCGGGGAGGACUUAUUAUAGACCACAAUAUCAGCAUGAUCUUGCGUUAUUUCCUUAUCACUUCUCACGUGCGUUUGGUUAUGAAACGCAGUUUGCGGAGCAGACAGAGUUGUCGGAAAUUCUUCCUAUUGUAAAGUCAUGCAGUGUGUGACCUCCUGUCGCCGAUCUAUCGUGCAAUGUGAAUACAGCAGCAACUGAACGCUACCCCAGAUAGUUGUGCAGUGUGAAAACAACGAUGAUCCGAUGAUUUUGAAAAUUACGCAGUGUGAACUUGGCAUAACUUGAAAGUGUUCAUGUUUCACAGUUUUGUCAGCUGAAUGUGAUGAUGAUGUACAAUCACUGAUGAAUGUUACAGAAUGUGGACUCUUGAAUAUUAAGGGAAAUGAGGAGGAAGAAAUUUAAAUAUAUAUAUAUAUAUAAAACCUUAUGAAUACUGAUACUAGCACUAUUAUGAUGGAAUAAUCACUGGAAUGGUAGAGUAGUUAACAGUAAGUUACAAAGUUAAAUUAAACCCUUACAGACCAAACAUGAAUGUUCAAGGUUAAAAACAAGUUAAGAUCUAUAAACAACAUCAUGCUGCCACUUACUUAGUAUGGAUAAUAAUUUCAACUGUAUAUGUAUGUAUAUAUACACACAUAUACAUACAUAUAUAUAUAUAUAUA